This 279-nucleotide ribosomal RNA is filed under the name uncultured bacterium. RNAcentral describes it as "partial 16S ribosomal RNA". It matches the Rfam family "Bacterial small subunit ribosomal RNA", at positions 506 to 784 of the family's 1533-position model. The record is from RNAcentral.
UGCCAGCAGCCGCGGUAAUACGUAGGGGGCUAGCGUUGUCCGGAUUUAUUGGGCGUAAAGAGCGUGUAGGCGGCCAGGUAGGUCUGCUGUGAAAACUCGAGGCUCAACCUCGAGACGUCGGCGGAAACCAUCUGGCUAGAGUCCGGAAGAGGAGAGUGGAAUUCCUGGUGUAGCGGUGAAAUGCGCAGAUAUCAGGAAGAACACCCGUGGCGAAGGCGGCUCUCUGGGACGGUACUGACGCUGAGACGCGAAAGCGUGGGGAGCGAACAGGAUUAGAUA